This 257-nucleotide ribosomal RNA is filed under the name Pseudomonas sp. MPR-LB3. Its description in RNAcentral is "partial 23S ribosomal RNA". It matches the Rfam family "Bacterial large subunit ribosomal RNA", at positions 1 to 251 of the family's 2925-position model. The record is from RNAcentral. Lineage: Bacteria; Pseudomonadati; Pseudomonadota; Gammaproteobacteria; Pseudomonadales; Pseudomonadaceae.
GCAAAGUUGUGUAGUGCGAUCGGUGGAUGCCUUGGCACCAAGAGCCGAUGAAGGACGUUGUGACCUGCGAUAAGCCCUGGGGAGUUGGUGAGCGAGCUGUGAUCCGGGGAUGUCCGAAUGGGGAAACCUGGAAUGUCCGGAGUAGUGUCCGGUGGCCCUGCCCUGAAUGUAUAGGGGUGUGGGUGGUAACGCGGGGAAGUGAAACAUCUUAGUACCCGUAGGAAGAGAAAACAAGUGUGAUUCCGUGAGUAGUGGCG